GACGAACGCUGGCGGCGUGCUUAACACAUGCAAGUCGAACGGAAAGGCCCUGCUUUUGUGGGGUGCUCGAGUGGCGAACGGGUGAGUAACACGUGAGUAACCUGCCCUUGACUUUGGGAUAACUUCAGGAAACUGGGGCUAAUACCGGAUAGGAGCUCCUGCUGCAUGGUGGGGGUUGGAAAGUUUCGGCGGUUGGGGAUAGACUCGCGGCUUAUCAGCUUGUUGGUGGGGUAGUGGCUUACCAAGGCUUUGACGGGUAGCCGGCCUGAGAGGGUGACCGGCCACAUUGGGACUGAGAUACGGCCCAGACUCCUACGGGAGGCAGCAGUGGGGAAUAUUGCACAAUGGGAGGAAGCCUGAUGCAGCAACGCCGCGUGCGGGAUGACGGCCUUCGGGUUGUAAACCGCUUUCGCCUGUGACGAAGCGUGAGUGACGGUAAUGGGUAAAGAAGCACCGGCUAACUACGUG
This 468-nucleotide ribosomal RNA is filed under the name uncultured bacterium. Its description in RNAcentral is "partial 16S ribosomal RNA". It matches the Rfam family "Bacterial small subunit ribosomal RNA", at positions 28 to 507 of the family's 1533-position model. The record is from RNAcentral.